This 253-nucleotide ribosomal RNA is filed under the name uncultured microorganism. RNAcentral's name for it is "partial 16S ribosomal RNA". It matches the Rfam family "Bacterial small subunit ribosomal RNA", at positions 524 to 776 of the family's 1533-position model. The record is from RNAcentral.
UACGUAGGUGGCAAGCGUUAUCCGGAAUUAUUGGGCGUAAAGCGCGCGCAGGUGGUUUCUUAAGUCUGAUGUGAAAGCCCACGGCUCAACCGUGGAGGGUCAUUGGAAACUGGGAGACUUGAGUGCAGUAGAGGAGAGUGGAAUUCCAUGUGUAGCGGUGAAAUGCGUAGAUAUAUGGAGGAACACCGGUGGCGAAAGCGGCUCUCUGGACUGUAACUGACACUGAGGCUCGAAAGCGUGGGUAGCAAACAGG